AUAUGUUGGACUUAGA
This 16-nucleotide small RNA is filed under the name Arabidopsis thaliana (thale cress). Its description in RNAcentral is "ATSL231850". Lineage: Eukaryota; Viridiplantae; Streptophyta; Magnoliopsida; Brassicales; Brassicaceae. The record is from RNAcentral.